GGGGGGGCGGGUGCUAUACAUGCAAGUCGAGCGGACAGAUGGGAGCUUGCUCCCUGAUGUUAGCGGCGGACGGGUGAGUAACACGUGGGUAACCUGCCUGUAAGACUGGGAUAACUCCGGGAAACCGGGGCUAAUACCGGAUGGUUGUUUGAACCGCAUGGUUCAGACAUAAAAGGUGGCUUCGGCUACCACUUACAGAUGGACCCGCGGCGCAUUAGCUAGUUGGUGAGGUAACGGCUCACCAAGGCGACGAUGCGUAGCCGACCUGAGAGGGUGAUCGGCCACACUGGGACUGAGACACGGCCCAGACUCCUACGGGAGGCAGCAGUAGGGAAUCUUCCGCAAUGGACGAAAGUCUGACGGAGCAAC
This 369-nucleotide ribosomal RNA is filed under the name uncultured Bacillus sp. Its description in RNAcentral is "bacterial SSU rRNA". It matches the Rfam family "Bacterial small subunit ribosomal RNA", at positions 38 to 395 of the family's 1533-position model. Lineage: Bacteria; Bacillati; Bacillota; Bacilli; Caryophanales; Bacillaceae. The record is from RNAcentral.